This 520-nucleotide ribosomal RNA is filed under the name uncultured bacterium. RNAcentral's name for it is "bacterial SSU rRNA". It matches the Rfam family "Bacterial small subunit ribosomal RNA", at positions 28 to 526 of the family's 1533-position model. The record is from RNAcentral.
AACGAACGCUGGCGGCGUGCCUAAGACAUGCAAGUCGUGCGGAAAGGCUCCUUCGGGAGUACUCGAGCGGCGCACGGGUGAGUAACACGUGGGUAAUCUACCUGAGGGUCUGGGAUAACCCCGGGAAACUGGGGCUAAUACCGGGCGAGACCACAGUGUCCUCGGACACAGCGGUCAAAGAUGGCCUCUCCUUGGAAGCUAUCGCCCUCGGAUGAGCCCGCGUCCCAUUAGCUAGUUGGCGGGGUAACGGCCCACCAAGGCGACGAUGGGUAGCUGGUCUGAGAGGAUGAUCAGCCACACUGGAACUGAGACACGGUCCAGACUCCUACGGGAGGCAGCAGUCGGGAAUUUGGGCAAUGGGCGAAAGCCUGACCCAGCAACGCCGCGUGAGGGAUGAAGGCCUUCGGGUCGUAAACCUCUGUCGGGAGGGACGAAAGGCGCGCGGGUGAACAAUCCGCGUACUUGACGGUACCUCCUAAGGAAGCGCCGGCUAACUCCGUGCCAGCAGCCGCGGUAAUAC